Molecule: transfer RNA, 68 nt
Filed under: Schismatogobius ampluvinculus
Lineage: Eukaryota; Metazoa; Chordata; Actinopteri; Gobiiformes; Gobiidae
Description: tRNA-Phe
Rfam family: tRNA
About the family: Transfer RNA (tRNA) molecules are approximately 80 nucleotides in length. Their secondary structure includes four short double-helical elements and three loops (D, anti-codon, and T loops). Further hydrogen bonds mediate the characteristic L-shaped molecular structure. tRNAs have two regions of fundamental functional importance: the anti-codon, which is responsible for specific mRNA codon recognition, and the 3' end, to which the tRNAs corresponding amino acid is attached (by aminoacyl-tRNA synthetases). tRNAs cope with the degeneracy of the genetic code in two manners: having more than one tRNA (with a specific anti-codon) for a particular amino acid; and 'wobble' base-pairing, i.e. permitting non-standard base-pairing at the 3rd anti-codon position.
Source: RNAcentral
GCUCGCGUAGCUUAAAUAAAGCAUAACACUGAAGAUGUUAAGAUAGUCCCUAGAAAGUCUCGCAGGCA